GGCCAGCGUGGCCUAGCUGUUGAGUGUUGGACUAUGAGUCUAGGGAACAGGGUUCGAAUCCCUGCUUGGCCA
Phrynosoma platyrhinos (Desert horned lizard) is the source of this 72-nucleotide non-coding RNA. The record is from the annotation of a GenBank genome assembly. NCBI's taxonomy places the organism in Eukaryota, Metazoa, Chordata, Lepidosauria, Squamata, Phrynosomatidae.